CCUACGGGAGGCUGCAGUGAGGAAUAUUGGUCAAUGGACGAGCGUCUGAACCAGCCAAGUAGCGUGAAGGAUGACUGCCCUAUGGGUUGUAAACUUCUUUUAUAAAGGAAUAAAACGAGGCACGUGUGCCUUUUUGCAUGUACUUUAUGAAUAAGGAUCGGCUAACUCCGUGCCAGCAGCCGCGGUAAUACGGAGGAUCCGAGCGUUAUCCGGAUUUAUUGGGUUUAAGGGGAGCGUAGAUGGGUUGUUAAGUCAGUUGUGAAAGUUUGGGGCUCAACCGUAAAAUUGCAAUUGAUACUGGCAGUCGUGAGUACAGUUGAGGUAGGCGGAAUUCGUGGUGUAGCGGUGAAAUGCUUAGAUAUCACGAAGAACCCCGAUUGCGAAGGCAGCUUACUAAACUGUGACUGACAUUGAUGCUCGAAAGUGUGGGUAUCAAACAGGAUUAGAUACCCUGUAGUC
Molecule: ribosomal RNA, 459 nt
Filed under: uncultured bacterium
Lineage: Bacteria
Description: partial 16S ribosomal RNA
Rfam family: Bacterial small subunit ribosomal RNA
Source: RNAcentral